AGCGAACGCUGGCGGCAGGCCUAACACAUGCAAGUCGAACGAACCUUUCGGGGUUAGUGGCGGACGGGUGAGUAACACGUGGGAACGUGCCUUUAGGUUCGGAAUAACUCAGGGAAACUUGUGCUAAUACCGAAUGUGCCCUUCGGGGGAAAGAUUUAUCGCCUUUAGAGCGGCCCGCGUCUGAUUAGCUAGUUGGUUGAGGUAAUGGCUCACCAAGGCGACGAUCAGUAGCUGGUCUGAGAGGAUGAUCAGCCACAUUGGGACUGAGACAUGGCCCAAACUCCUACGGGAGGCAGCAGUGGGGAAUCUUGCGCAAUGGGCGAAAGCCUGACGCAGCCAUGCCGCGUGAAUGAUGAAGGUCUUAGGAUUGUAAAAUUCUUUCACCGGGGACGAUAAUGACGGUACCCGGAGAAGAAGCCCCGGCUAACUUCGUG
This 434-nucleotide ribosomal RNA is filed under the name uncultured bacterium. RNAcentral's name for it is "partial 16S ribosomal RNA". It matches the Rfam family "Bacterial small subunit ribosomal RNA", at positions 29 to 507 of the family's 1533-position model. The record is from RNAcentral.